UUAAACGCACGGUUACAUAUGGAUGCGCACUAAUAUUACAUCAGAGUCCAGCUGUUUGUGUAGUUAUCAAACGAAGAUGCUCCACAACGUGCUGUGCAUGUUUAUGUAUGGGCUUUUUCGGUUAUUUUGAUCCAGCAGAUGAAAUGAGCUCACACAACUCUUGUGUACUCGCAAAAUGAGACAAUGGAAAAAGCGAGGAGAGCAGCCACUUUUGUUUCUGCAGUGUUAGCCGCAAGACCUCGCCGAACGAUGUGGACUCACGCCAGAAGUCAGGACUGGUGGAAGAAUAUUGUGCUCAGUACGUUUACUGAUGACCAGUGACUUGAACAUUUUCGUAUGCGACGACACGCAUAUAAUGCCAAACAAAGCCACUGUGCACCGCCAGUUUAUUAAUUUGCCUAAAGGAGAGAAGCUUCAGGCAAUCGUUGAAGGCUUUAAGGACAGAUGGGUUUUUCCUCAGUGUGCAGGAGCAAUUGAUGGAUCUCGUAUACCCAUCACCCCUCCUUUUGAAGAUGCUAAGGACUAUUUCAACUGAAAAGGGAGCUAUUCCAUCAUAUUACAGGCUGUCAUCGAUCACAAUUCACUGUUUACCAAUAUCGAUGUGGGAUGGCCUGGCAGUGUGCAUGAUGCCCGAGUGCUACGGAACUCCACCCUGUUUCACCUUGCAGAGAAUGGCAACCUGUUUGCAGCAGACACACAGGAAAUUGAGGGUGUAAAUGUCCCCAUUAUGCUUCUUGGAGACCCAGCAUACCCACUCUUGAGCUGGUUGAUGAAGGGAUUUCCAGACACUGGUAAUCUGUCUAGAGAACACAGGCGCUUCAGCUACCGUUUGAGCCGUGCAUGCUUGACUGUGAAAUGUGCAUUUGGGCAGCUGAAGGGGGAGGUGGAGAUGUUUGCUGAAGAGAAUGGAAAUAUGUAUAUCACGGGUUCUGACCAUUAUGAGCAGCUGCUGUGUCCUUCACAACUUGUGUGCAUUGCACACUGACAAUUUUUUGGAUGCAGGAUGUGGAGGAGACUGUUGAACUGAAUGCACCUGACUUUCCAAUGCCACAUGAGAGAGCAGAACAGCCAUUGCAUGUUAGACAGGCACUUUCACGUUAUUUCUCCAGACAGAGUUGUAACUACUGAGUUCGUUGAACACUACAGUUAAAUAAGAAAUUUUAUUUUACUUUACUGAGUUUUUUUUUCUUGUUACUGUUUUAUGUUAUCCAUGACAAUAAAGUUGCAUAAAAGGGUCUGUUUUA
Molecule: long non-coding RNA, 1244 nt
Organism: Sinocyclocheilus grahami
Lineage: Eukaryota; Metazoa; Chordata; Actinopteri; Cypriniformes; Cyprinidae
Exons: 3
Source: RefSeq, a predicted model, not a curated record